UAGCUCAGUUGGUAGAGCAUCUGACUUUUAAUCAGAGGGUCAGAGGUUCGAAUCC
Molecule: transfer RNA, 55 nt
Filed under: Staphylococcus epidermidis MC19
Lineage: Bacteria; Bacillati; Bacillota; Bacilli; Caryophanales; Staphylococcaceae
Description: tRNA-Lys
Rfam family: tRNA
About the family: Transfer RNA (tRNA) molecules are approximately 80 nucleotides in length. Their secondary structure includes four short double-helical elements and three loops (D, anti-codon, and T loops).
Source: RNAcentral